RNAcentral lists this ribosomal RNA (472 nucleotides) under uncultured organism. RNAcentral describes it as "partial 16S ribosomal RNA". It matches the Rfam family "Bacterial small subunit ribosomal RNA", at positions 335 to 798 of the family's 1533-position model. The record is from RNAcentral.
ACUCCUGCGGGAGGCAGCAGUGGGGAAUUUUGGACAAUGGGGGCAACCCUGAUCCAGCAAUGCCGCGUGAGUGAAGAAGGCCUUCGGGUUGUAAAGCUCUUUUGUCAGGGAAGAAACGGUAGUAGCGAAUAACUAUUACUAAUGACGGUACCUGAAGAAUAAGCACCGGCUAACUACGUGCCAGCAGCCGCGGUAAUACGUAGGGUGCAAGCGUUAAUCGGAAUUACUGGGCGUAAAGCGUGCGCAGGCGGUUGUGUAAGUCAGAUGUGAAAUCCCCGGGCUCAACCUGGGAAUUGCAUUUGAGACUGCACGGCUAGAGUGUGUCAGAGGGGGGUAGAAUUCCACGUGUAGCAGUGAAAUGCGUAGAUAUGUGGAGGAAUACCGAUGGCGAAGGCAGCCCCCUGGGAUAACACUGACGCUCAUGCACGAAAGCGUGGGGAGCAAACAGGAUUAGAUACCCCGGUAGUCCCAU